AUUAAAGUAGAUACUAUUAAUUUUAUAAGCAUGGUCCAUAAGUUUUGGGAAUAUAUGAAUAAUUGUGUUAAUUCCUUGUGUGGAUGGAAGGAAAUGGAAGUUGGUAAGAGCUUGUAUAUGACCAUAUACCAAGGCAUCAAGUUCUCGUAUAUAUUAAAACUACUUACUUGUCACCAAAAAAGAAGUUUCUCCCAUUCAAUCUUUCUGAUAAUAUCACGCAACAAUUUUCAACUUCAUUAGAGACUUCUUUUAAAGUUCUAUUAUACCAACCAAGUACGGUUUUAAAUGGUUGGAUAAACUUGUCCCUUUGUUUGAAAUAAAGGACACUAUAUUAUCAAAUUCAGAUAGUACAAAUGCACCACAUUUAAUAAAAGGUAAAGAACCAUUUGGAGACAUAUACUCGGCAUC
This is a long non-coding RNA of Vespa crabro (European hornet), 408 nucleotides long. RefSeq lists it as uncharacterized. The transcript is spliced from 3 exons. NCBI's taxonomy places the organism in Eukaryota, Metazoa, Arthropoda, Insecta, Hymenoptera, Vespidae. The record is from RefSeq and is a predicted model, not a curated record.